This is a long non-coding RNA of Saccostrea cuccullata (small rock oyster), 950 nucleotides long. RefSeq lists it as uncharacterized. Lineage: Eukaryota; Metazoa; Mollusca; Bivalvia; Ostreida; Ostreidae. The record is from RefSeq and is a predicted model, not a curated record. The transcript has 2 exons.
UCCCAUACCUGUCAACUCUCCCGAAUUUAUCGGGAGUCUACCGAUUUUUAACCAUCCCUACCGACUGUCUACCGAUUUUUUUUUAAACUGCCGUUUCUACCGAUUUUGAAAAAUUCCGGAUUUUUUUACCUACUUGGGUUCGUAAAAUACCGACUAGUCAACACAAAAAUGGAGGCCAUGCAGUGUUUAUAUCGGUAGCUAAUCUGUUUAUUGCCACUGAUAACAGGUAAUCAACAAGGUGUCAACUGUGCUAGCAGAUGUAAUUGCAGUUGUAAUUGCUCCUUAUUCUCAUUAAAAGUGUAUAUUAUCAAAGACAGAGAUGCCAGAUGUGGAAAUUUUUACAGAACAUGACGGUAAAGAACGAUAUGGAAGUACUUGAUACUUUGCUGCAAAUAAGUUUACAAGUGCCUAAGAUAAAACUAUUACUCCAUAAACAAUACAGUGAUCAGGAAAGGUGUGGCUACAGUACUCUAUUAUUAAUUUAACAAGGAGAGGGAAACAAUUUCAUGGAAGCUAACAUAAAUGUUCAGAGUCAGCUGAAGAUUUCCCAACAGAUUUUGAGAUUCAAUGACUUAGUAAAUCCUGCAUCAAGAUAUAACAGCCCCUGAAACUACAGAGCAACAAGACAGUGUCUUUAGAAGACUUCUUUAAAUUUACAAAGCUAAACAGGAUCUUUAAAUCAAGGAUACAACUCAUGUCCCUUAGACUUAGUGAGAAAAAUCCAUUCAUCCAUCUAUUAAAAGCUUGAAACUCAAGACUGUCUGCAGAACUUUAUUAAUUUUUCUAAUUGCCAAGUUAAACUACAACAUUUGCCAUGAAUAUUAUUUAAAUGAUGCUCUUAUGGACUGGCAGAAUAGAUAGUGAACAUAAAAUUUUAUAAUUUCAAAAUUAAUUCACAUUGUACAAGUUUCUAAACAAUGUAUGAAUAAACAGUAAAUUUUAUGAAUUAA